Molecule: ribosomal RNA, 449 nt
Filed under: uncultured bacterium
Lineage: Bacteria
Description: partial 16S ribosomal RNA
Rfam family: Bacterial small subunit ribosomal RNA
Source: RNAcentral
AACGAACGCUGGCGGCAUGCCUAACACAUGCAAGUCGAACGAGAUCUUCGGGUCUAGUGGCGCACGGGUGCGUAACGCGUGGGAAUCUGCCCUUUGGUUCGGAAUAACAGUUGGAAACGACUGCUAAUACCGGAUGAUGACGAAAGUCCAAAGAUUUAUCGCCAGAGGAUGAGCCCGCGUAGGAUUAGCUAGUUGGUGUGGUAAAGGCGCACCAAGGCGACAAUCCUUAGCUGGUCUGAGAGGAUGAUCAGCCACACUGGGACUGAGACACGGCCCAGACUCCUACGGGAGGCAGCAGUGGGGAAUAUUGGACAAUGGGCGAAAGCCUGAUCCAGCAAUGCCGCGUGAGUGAUGAAGGCCUUAGGGUUGUAAAGCUCUUUUACCCGGGAUGAUAAUGACAGUACCUGGAGAAUAAGCUCCGGCUAACUCCGUGCCAGCCGCCGCAGUAA